Molecule: ribosomal RNA, 469 nt
Filed under: uncultured organism
Description: partial 16S ribosomal RNA
Rfam family: Bacterial small subunit ribosomal RNA
Source: RNAcentral
ACUCCUGCGGGAGGCAGCAGUGGGGAAUUUUGGACAAUGGGGGCAACCCUGAUCCAGCAAUGCCGCGUGAGUGAAGAAGGCCUUCGGGUUGUAAAGCUCUUUUGUCAGGGAAGAAACGGUGGUGGCGAAUAACUACUACUAAUGACGGUACCUGAAGAAUAAGCACCGGCUAACUACGUGCCAGCAGCCGCAGUAAUACGUAGGGUGCAAGCGUUAAUCGGAAUUACUGGGCGUAAAGCGUGCGCAGGCGGUUGUGUAAGUCAGAUGUGAAAUCCCCGGGCUCCACCUGGGAAUUGCAUUUGAGACUGCACGGCUAGAGUGUGUCAGAGGGGGGUAGAAUUCCACGUGUAGCAGUGAAAUGCGUAGAUAUGUGGAGGAAUACCGAUGGCGAAGGCAGCCCCCUGGGAUAACACUGACGCUCAUGCACGAAAGCGUGGGGAGCAAACAGGAUUAGAUACCCGUGUAGUCC